Molecule: small RNA, 846 nt
Filed under: Pan troglodytes (chimpanzee)
Lineage: Eukaryota; Metazoa; Chordata; Mammalia; Primates; Hominidae
Description: processed transcript
Source: RNAcentral
GAAGGAAACUAGCUCGGACCGUGCAGGUUUGUAGGUCUGUUGGCCUGUAGGUUUCGGCACAAGUCUCAGCGAGAGAAGGAGAAAACUGCCUUGGUUGGAACCUUGCAGAUUCAUCACAAGAGAGCUACAAGAGCCUGGAAGAAGCUGAAGACUGCUACCCUCCAUCCUUACUCACCCUGGACCUGAGAGACCUCUUCAAUCAGAAAUGGAAACAGAGAGAUUCUCCUGGAAACCCCUGCCCCAUAAACGGCCCUCUCGAACACAAUGGGACGGAAUCCACCCACAACGCGCUUGGUUUGCAGAUGUCAAAGAAUCUGCAGAGGGUGCUACUGAAGAUCCAGCCUUAGCCAAUCACCACCUCAUUGGGUGAAAGUUCCAGGGCUCAAUCCAGGACCACACUCUUAUUGGCCAGGCAGGGGCUCCCACAGAGCUUUGAGUAAAUUCUUGGUUGUGCAGUCUGCAGGCAAUGUUGGCAUUGUAAAUUCCUCCCUUGCAGCCUCCUUCAUGUGGUGAGGGGAUCACUUCAGCUGCCUGCUGUGGACAAAGAACAUCAAAUUACAGCAUCACGAGUGCUAUUGUUGCCUGUGGUGGUCUCCCUGUCCAAGCGGGACCGCUUUGCAGAGACCAGACGCAUAUCGCGGCUUGAGCUGAAAAUGCAUUUGUUGCAGCUUAGGUUGAAUUAUUUUUCGUUUGCUCUUUCUUCUACACGCGCCUGAUGGAUAGUGAACCUAUUCAUCAAAAAAGUGCACUGCUCUUCUGUCUAUUGUACCGACUUAACCUCUUCCACCCAAGUCCGCAUCUGUGUGUAUCAUCAAUAAAGUUGUGUGCUUUGAUUGGCAGAAAAGA